GUGAAUCAACCAGCAUGUUCCGUUGAUAAGCUUCCAUGGAGUCUCAGUGUUCUGUAUGAAAGCUAAAAUGGAUGAAGAAAUGGCUAGAAGAGCUAGUAUUGUGGAGAAUCUUUUGGAGGAUGAAAACGAAGAGGAUGAGUAGGAAUAAGGUGUCAAUGGAAGCUAAGAGGAGUCUCUGAGGACAUGGAGAUAGGAAGAUGAAUGACGUCAGCGAGGUGUUUUCCGCCAUUGACGAGGUUAAAGAAUAUGAGAGAGAUUUGAGUGAU
RNAcentral lists this long non-coding RNA (266 nucleotides) under Helianthus annuus (common sunflower). Its description in RNAcentral is "hypothetical non coding rna". The record is from RNAcentral. Lineage: Eukaryota; Viridiplantae; Streptophyta; Magnoliopsida; Asterales; Asteraceae.